Pungitius pungitius (ninespine stickleback) is the source of this 655-nucleotide long non-coding RNA. RefSeq lists it as uncharacterized. The transcript is spliced from 2 exons. Lineage: Eukaryota; Metazoa; Chordata; Actinopteri; Perciformes; Gasterosteidae. The record is from RefSeq and is a predicted model, not a curated record.
GAACUGGCAAUAAGAAUCGAGAAGAGAUUUGACCUUCGUCAUCGCUCCAGGGUGGUGGACAUUCCUCAACCGGCCGCCUCCCCCACCCACUCCCACCCUAACCCCCGGGCUGAACCGGAGCCCAUGCAGCUGGGUGGACUGCGCCUUACCGCUAAGGAGAAGGAGCGUCGCAUCACAAACCGUCUCUGCAUGUACUGUGGCGCGGCCACCCACUUCGUGUCAACCUGUCCAGUAAAAGCCAGCGCUCGACAGUAGAGGAGGGAUUACUGGCGAGCGCUACUUCCAUCUCUCCGUCAAAAUCGUGCACCCUGAUUCCAGUAGCCCUGCGGUGGGCGGGGUCAUCGGUCUCAUGUAACGCCUUAAUAGACUCUGGGGCAGAAGGGAAUUUUCUCGAUGAGACAUGGGCCCGAAAGCAAGAUCCAGCGUCCGGUCCCGCCGAACAGGAGGAGUCCCAGCUGAACUACGGCCAGCCGGCUUUGUCGGGAACGACGGGCAGAGCGCUCCUCUCCCCAGCCCUCGACCUCUAAUGCCCCGUUUCACCGGGAGAUCUUCUGUUCCCCUUUUUCUCUGAAGACCUCAGUUGCUGUUUUUGUGCCUGCCUUCGCGGCGUCCUCUAAGUUUGCACCUUCCUAUUAAAAGCAUUAUUUUUCCUGCA